UACGAAGGGGGCUAGCGUUGUUCGGAAUUACUGGGCGUAAAGGGCGCGUAGGCGGCUGUCCAAGUCAGAUGUGAAAGCCCCGGGCUUAACCUGGGAAUUGCAUUUGAGACUGAAUAGCUAGGGUGCGGUAGAGGGAAGCGGAAUUUCCGGUGUAGCGGUGAAAUGCGUAGAUAUCGGAAGGAACAUCAGUGGCGAAAGCGGCUUCCUGGACCAGCACCGACGUUCAGGCACGAAAGCGUGGGGAGCAAACAGG
Molecule: ribosomal RNA, 253 nt
Filed under: uncultured bacterium
Lineage: Bacteria
Description: partial 16S ribosomal RNA
Rfam family: Bacterial small subunit ribosomal RNA
Source: RNAcentral